GCUUACGGCCAUACCAACCUGGCUAUGCCCGAUCUCGUCUGCUCUCAGAAAAUAAGCAGGUUUGGGCCUGGUUAGUACUUGGAUGUGAGACCGCCUGGGAAUACCAGGUGCUGUAAGCU
This 119-nucleotide ribosomal RNA is filed under the name Carassius auratus (goldfish). Lineage: Eukaryota; Metazoa; Chordata; Actinopteri; Cypriniformes; Cyprinidae. The record is from RNAcentral.